AAACUUUACAAUGCGGGAAACCGUGAUAAGGGGACACCGAGUGCUAGCAUCAUAUGCUGGCUGUCCAGGUGUACACCUGUAGCAAGGGCCGGCAAGACCGGUGCCAGCCGCCGCGGUAACACCGGCGGCCCGAGUGGUGAUCGUGAUUAUUGGGUCUAAAGGGUCCGUAGCCGGUUUGGUCAGUCCUCCGGGAAAUCUGAUAGCUCAACUAUUAGGCUUCGGGGGAUACUGCCAGACUUGGAACCGGGAGAGGCAAGCGGUACUUAGUGGGUAGGGGUAAAAUCCGUUGAUCCAUUGAAGACCACCUGUGGCGAAGGCGUCUUACCAGAACGGUUCGACGGUGAGGGACGAAAGCUGGGGGGCACGACCGGAUUAGAUACCCGGGUAGUCCCAGCCGUAAACGAUGCUCGCUAGGUGUCAGGUGGUGUCGCAGGGAGCCGUGAAGCGAGCCACCU
Molecule: ribosomal RNA, 455 nt
Filed under: uncultured archaeon
Lineage: Archaea
Description: bacterial SSU rRNA
Rfam family: Archaeal small subunit ribosomal RNA
Source: RNAcentral